CGGGUGUGGUUCAAUGGUAGAACGUUAGCUUCCCAAGCUCAAAACGCGAGUUCGAUUCUCGUCUCCC
Molecule: transfer RNA, 67 nt
Filed under: human gut metagenome
Rfam family: tRNA
About the family: Transfer RNA (tRNA) molecules are approximately 80 nucleotides in length. Their secondary structure includes four short double-helical elements and three loops (D, anti-codon, and T loops).
Source: RNAcentral